ACCCUUUGCUCUGGGGAAACCAGCUGCUACAUCACCAUCAGCCUUGUGACCAUGCCACAUGGUAAGGAGCUGAAAUCUCAGCAGCCACAUGAGUGAGCUCGGCAGCGGAUCCUUUAGGCCCCGUCAUGCAAUCCUGGAUUGCAGCCCUGGACAUCCACUUAACUAGCAAGACUGAGCCAGAACCACCCAGAUGAGCUGCUCCUGGAUUCCCAACUCUCAAAAACUGUGAGAGAUGUUCAACGGUGGUUGUUUGAAACUGCUGAGUCUCAGUAUAAUUUGUUACACAGCACUAGCUAACUCAUACACGUCACGUUUCUGCAGCAGAAUACCUUGGACCUGGGGAGAGCUGGAGAUAAUUACUCAGUACCACCCAGUACAUGGGAAAGUGAUUACUGACAGGCUCAGAAAUGUUAAGAAGAUGCUUAAAAGAAAUGGGCUCAUGAGCCUUCUUUGCUGAAGUAUUAAUUACUAGAUCUGAAUGUUUUGCUUUUCUGUGAUGGAAAACGUGAAGAAAAUAGGGCUUUUUUUUUUCUUUUGAAGAGAUGGGAUUUCCCUCUGUCGCUUAGGCUUAACUGCAGUGAUUCAGUCAUAGCUCACGGCAGCCUCAAACUCCUGGACUCAAGCAAAUGACUGAUAUUUUUUGAGCACCAGCAGUAACGAUAGUUACUAUUCACUGUUUUCUCCCUGCCAGGUGUUCCACAGACAUCCUACAUGCAUGACAUUGAUUCACUCUUACAUUUGACAGGAACCUGGCCGUCCACUCCACCCACGUGCCUUAGCAAAGUGCCCUUGGUGAGGCUGAGGGACUAGGCAGCCAGGACUCCUGAGGGGACCUUAUCAGAGAGGGAAGCCACCUCGGACUGAGUGGUGAGUGCUGCUCUAGGACUGCCCUAAAACUGGAUUUGAACAAAAGACCACAUGCCGUAUGACUCCAUUGGAAUGAAACAUCCAGAACAGGCAAAGCCACAGA
Molecule: long non-coding RNA, 970 nt
Filed under: Homo sapiens (human)
Lineage: Eukaryota; Metazoa; Chordata; Mammalia; Primates; Hominidae
Description: non-protein coding lnc-FBXO31-12:4
Source: RNAcentral